CAAUAGCGUAUAUUUAAGUUGUUGCAGUUAAAAAGCUCGUAGUUGGAUUUCGGAUGGGAUUUGCCGGUCCGUCGUUACGAUGUGCACUGGCCAGUCCUAUCUUGUUGUCGGGGACUAGCUCCUUGGAUUCACUUCCUGGGACUAGGAGCUGACGAGGUUACUUUGAGUAAAUUAGAGUGUUCAAAGCAAGCCUACGCUCUGAAUACAUUAGCAUGGAAUAACACGAUAGGACUCUGGCUUAUCUUGUUGGUCUGUGAGACCAGAGUAAUGAUUAAGAGGGACAGUCGGGGACAUUCGUAUUUCAUUGUCAGAGGUGAAAUUCUUGGAUUUAUGAAAGACGAACUUCUGCGAAAGCAUUUGUCAAGGAUGUUUACAUUAA
This 379-nucleotide ribosomal RNA is filed under the name uncultured eukaryote. Its description in RNAcentral is "partial 18S ribosomal RNA". It matches the Rfam family "Eukaryotic small subunit ribosomal RNA", at positions 592 to 976 of the family's 1831-position model. The record is from RNAcentral.